Molecule: ribosomal RNA, 411 nt
Filed under: Rhizobacter sp.
Lineage: Bacteria; Pseudomonadati; Pseudomonadota; Betaproteobacteria; Burkholderiales; Sphaerotilaceae
Description: bacterial SSU rRNA
Rfam family: Bacterial small subunit ribosomal RNA
Source: RNAcentral
UGGGAAGAAGGCCUUACAGGGUUGUAAACCACUUUUGUCAGGGAAGAAACGGUUCUUACUAAUAUUAGGAACUAAUGACGGUACCUGAAGAAUAAGCACCGGCUAACUACGUGCCAGCAGCCGCGGUAAUACGUAGGGUGCAAGCGUUAAUCGGAAUUACUGGGCGUAAAGCGUGCGCAGGCGGCUUUGCAAGACAGAUGUGAAAUCCCCGGGCUCAACCUGGGAACUGCAUUUGUGACUGCAUGGCUAGAGUACGGUAGAGGGGGAUGGAAUUCCGCGUGUAGCAGUGAAAUGCGUAGAUAUGCGGAGGAACACCGAUGGCGAAGGCAAUCCCCUGGACCUGUACUGACGCUCAUGCACGAAAGCGUGGGGAGCAAACAGGAUUAGAUACCCUGGUAGUCCACGCCCUAA